CAGUAGCCGCGGGAAUACGAAGGGUGCAAGCGUUAAUCGGAAUUACUGGGCGUAAAGCGUGCGCAGGCGGUUUGUUAAGACAGAUGUGAAAUCCCCGGGCUCAACCUGGGAACUGCAUUUGUGACUGGCAAGCUAGAGUGUGGCAGAGGGGGGUGGAAUUCCGCGUGUAGCAGUGGAAUGCGUAGAUAUGCGGAGGAACACCGAUGGCGAAGGCAGCCCUCUGGGCCAACACUGACGCUCAUGCACGAAAGCGUGGGGAGCAAACAGGAUUAGAUACCCGCGUAGUCCCUGUCUCUUAUAA
This 301-nucleotide ribosomal RNA is filed under the name uncultured bacterium. RNAcentral describes it as "partial 16S ribosomal RNA". It matches the Rfam family "Bacterial small subunit ribosomal RNA", at positions 509 to 809 of the family's 1533-position model. The record is from RNAcentral.